AGCGUGCAGUGUGAAAACAUCUUAAUAUCGGGCUAGAAAGACAGAUAUUUCAGAUAAUAAUUAUGGAAUGUUUUUCUUCAUAAUUAUAAAUAGAAUUGUCGAUGCGAUCACCAACAAAAUCACUAUUAGUUUAUCGGAUUGGAUUUGGCUGACAAUGGCUGUCCGGUAUUAAACUAUCCGUGAGCUUCUAUGGAAGUAUUUCACGAGAUGCGCAGUCUGUGGAAUUAUCGCCAACGACCGGUCACGUUUACUAUAAGUUUUUUGGGACAAACGCCCAAAUCUUCUGAGUUAUGUGUACGAGUUUCGUAGCGAGAAAACAUAGAAAAACAGCUCGUUACAUCUGGCGAUCUUCAGCGAGCUUUAUUAGCGAGGAGCUGGCGGAUAAUUUGGCUGCUCUCAGAAGAAUUACAUAAUAAAGACGACAAGUUAGGUUGGCAAAUGGAAGGAGCUGCGGAAUAAGUGCGCAGCUCGAGCCAGAAGUCAAAUUGGGAAACAAACGACUAACCAUGAGCCUGUUAAUAUUGCCAGAAGUAGAAGAUGCGUUGGUGCCAGCCCGUCGCCAGUAUAAGAUCCACAGGUCAAUAAAUUGUAAUAGCUUCCAGGAACAAACACAUCGGAUGCCGGGAGGAAAGUAUGUCAAUGGCAUUUUUUCAAGACGGCAACGAGAAGAUAAUGUUGACCAGUUUCUAGAAGCAGAACUGCCAGAUUUCCGUAUUACAAGUGCAACUUCAAACCUAGCCAAGCACCAAAUCACCAUAAGGGACUAGAAAGCUAUAAAACAAAGACACCACUCAGCAAGAACCACGUUCAACGCGCGUUAAAAUCUUGCUUUGAUGUUUUUGCACCUCCAUCUACCUAUUGCUAUAUUUUAAGUUACAAACAGAAUAUUAUUGUCAAAGUUGAUAAAAUAAAUUCUUCUUAUUUUUAAGAA
Long non-coding RNA from Drosophila biarmipes, 931 nucleotides. RefSeq lists it as uncharacterized. NCBI's taxonomy places the organism in Eukaryota, Metazoa, Arthropoda, Insecta, Diptera, Drosophilidae. The record is from RefSeq and is a predicted model, not a curated record. The transcript has 2 exons.